This 310-nucleotide long non-coding RNA is filed under the name Nicotiana benthamiana. RNAcentral describes it as "long non-coding RNA (NBEN_LNC005334)". Lineage: Eukaryota; Viridiplantae; Streptophyta; Magnoliopsida; Solanales; Solanaceae. The record is from RNAcentral.
UCAACGACUCUUCAGUUUUCCUAAACUUCUCGCCGGAGAUGACCGCCGCAGAAGCCGCCGGAGCUGUCGAGAAUCUACGAGCCGAUGUAUUGGAAGCAGGUAAAUUAGUGUUAGCAUAGUGGUGCAGUGACCUCAAAGCGUAGUUCCAUCUAGCAAAACCUUGGGCCGCCGGAGCUGUCGAGAAUCUCCGAGCCAAUGUAUUGGAAGCAGGUAAAUUAGUCUUAGCAUAGUGGUGCAGUGAUCUCAAAGCGUAGUUCCAUCUAGCAAAACCUUGAUCUUUUAAUGCCUCUACUGCUCCAAUACUUGCUGC